AAACCAGGUCUCAAGAGGUUGGAGGAGCACUGCCUGUUGUUGUCUGAGUAUCCUGCCAUCACGCCUGUCUGUUGGUCUUGGGAGAAGGAGGCUGCAUAUUUCGCUCCACAUUCUUCCUACAUCAUACCAUUGGGUUUAUGCAAACGAGCCUUGUCACUGCAGAAGUGUUGGCCCCAGUGGAACAAGCUAGUGAUGGUCAGGGCUGAGGAGAGAAGCACAAGAAACCGUUUCUGCAGCAGAAGCUUUGGCUCGAGCUCAUACUUUGAGCAGUACGGUCUGUUGAGAAGCAGAUUGCCUGUGGUGGGCAACCGGUGAGUUUUAGAUGCUGGAGCAGAGAACCUGUGGGCUGUCAGCUCCAUUGCCUCCUCUACUGGUUCAUCGCUGAGCUCAGAGCCUGGUGCCAGCCAAACUUCAUCUUCAGGACCCCAGGCCUCCCACAGUGAGUGUUGGGCUCCUGGACUCCUCAUAUGACUUUAAGAGGGGGCUCUGCAGGGGAGUUGCUGGCUGUGAUGAAUCAGUAGGAAGCAGUCUUCAGCUACUCCGAAGCCUCAGGGUCUCACGGGUAGGAUAUGGGAGAGGCUAGUUGGACCUAAGAGUGGCACC
RNAcentral lists this long non-coding RNA (603 nucleotides) under Cricetulus griseus (Chinese hamster). Its description in RNAcentral is "lncRNA (ENSCGRG00000025535.1)". The record is from RNAcentral. Lineage: Eukaryota; Metazoa; Chordata; Mammalia; Rodentia; Cricetidae.